Molecule: small RNA, 132 nt
Filed under: Streptomyces cellostaticus
Lineage: Bacteria; Bacillati; Actinomycetota; Actinomycetes; Kitasatosporales; Streptomycetaceae
Description: Streptomyces-metH RNA
Rfam family: Streptomyces-metH RNA
Source: Rfam by way of RNAcentral
UGCGUCCGCCUCGUGGACGCCGGUGCCCAUCCAAGCCCACUCCCGGUUACUCUGACGCCGUGCCCCUUGCCCGGCCCUCGCCGGGGAAGCCGCAUAGCCGACAGCCGUCGCACCCCAGGGAGCCCUUUCAUG